UUUAAAAACACGCUCUGUGGCCUUGGUUUGCAGAUGCGUGUGGAGAGCGAAUGGGAAUGUAAGUUGUGUGAGAGGUGAGCGGGUGGGCGUCUGAGUGUGCGUUUGUUUUGUGUGAGUGGUAAUUGUAAACUUGUUUUUAAAAAAACUACACAGUGAUCUUAUUUGAUCAGGCCAGAGUUUAAGCCUUGCUCCGGUUCUGAGAUGAUAAAAAUCCGACAUGCUAGCUAAAUAUUUAGCAAUGUGCGUGAGGCAAUUUCGCUAAAGCAAGGCAUACCCACGAUUGUGGUUUUGAAGUGAUGAAUUGAUCAGAUAUACUAGGGCUUGGGGCGGAUUCUGAAUUUAUUCCGCGUCUGCGCCCUUGUUCGAUGAGUAUAGAGGCGAUUCUGAUCAAA
Acipenser ruthenus (sterlet) is the source of this 392-nucleotide non-coding RNA. RefSeq annotates it as small Cajal body-specific RNA 2. The record is from RefSeq and is a predicted model, not a curated record. NCBI's taxonomy places the organism in Eukaryota, Metazoa, Chordata, Actinopteri, Acipenseriformes, Acipenseridae. The transcript has a single exon.